GCGAGAUUUGCAUUAAUGACGCGUUAUCUUUCUAUUUCACUGUGAUUAUGUAUUGUGAAAGUAAGCAAAUGAUUGAAUAAACGUACCUUUCUUCUAUAUCAUUGAAUUUACGUCGAUUUGAUCUACGCUACCUCGUAGAAAAAGGUUAUGUGAUGUUAUUCAAUGAAAAAAAGAAGUUGCGAAGUGAAGUUUGCAUUGAAAGUUCAUUCAGUACAUCAGCAAUUUAAAUUUCUAUGUCUUCAAGUUUUUCAGGAACGAAACUUUGUGAAAUCUGAUGAAGUAUAUUCAAAUAAGACAGUGUAAGACAUAAAGAUAUUUAUAGACUUGAUCUGCUUAUUUACAAUGUGUGAUAAAAUAUUUCCCUUGGAAAUACUUUCGUGGAUUAGGCUUGGCUUACAUUUUUAGCUAAACCUUAACACAGUUUAGUUAGUCUCAACCUAGCAUUCGCUUGAAACAAUCUUGAAUAGUAAAUGUAGCAAUUGAAAAGUUUUUGAGCCUUAAAAAUAUGGAUCAAGAUCAGAUCAGUUCAAAUUCGAACGAAUUCAAUUUUGAUACUUUUUCUACAAACUAUCUGCAAAUUCGAUAUGGCGAAGCUGGCGUGAUAUAAACAACGCAGAAUUCUGGACAUUUAUUGGUGUUAUAAUCAAUAUGGGUAAAAUGCCGUUUGUCAAUUUGCAAGAAUAUUGGCCGAGGAAUAUCGUCAAUUAUAAUCUUUUCUAUUCGGAUACAUUUACAAGAGAUAGAUUUAGUCAAAUAUUCUGGUUGCUUUAUGCUGAAAACUAUUUCAAUACGCAACACGAAUCCAAGAACGUGCCUACAACGAGUAAGUUGCUUUUUGGACUGUAUCAAUUCAAAGUUCUUGGAUUAUUUUAUACCGGGUGAGCAUAUAUGUGUGAAUGAGUCAACGAUAAAAUUCAAGGGUCGAAUUUCGUUCAUAAUAUACAAUCUUAAGUAACCGACAAAAUGGGAGAUCAGAGUUUAUACUCUAGCUAAUUCGAAGAUUGAUUAUAUUUGCUGCAUUUUGCCAUAUUAUGAAUCACUCAUAACAGAGCUCUUGGUCAGACCCGAUUUAUCUGUUUCAUUAAGAAUUCCGAUAGACUUGUACAAAAUAUUGUUGGAGAAAAUUCCAGGUGUUCAGGAGCACCAUAUGUACACGAAUCUUUACUAUACUAGUUAUGUCUUAACUCAAGAACUAGUCAAAUUGAAAUGCAAUAUCACCGGAACGAUCUUAACGAAUAGGAAAGAAUUGCCCAAGGAAAUAAAAAAGUCAAAUUUUUCGAAAAAAAAUAUUACACGAGAUGGUGUGGAAAUAAUGGUCAAGAAAUUCAAUAUUGUAUUAAAUUAUAUAAAAUAUAAGAUUGGGAAAAAAUGGAUUUCUUUUUCCCCAAUAUAAUGAUCGCGAUGAUUGAAUAAGUAUUACUAAUUGUGAAAUUGCAAAAUCUCACUCGAGAAAGCUUGUUUUUUUCCCCUGUAUUUAUUAUCUUUAUUAAUAAUUGUUUAAAUAAACUCUUGGUUAAAGAAUAAUUCAAAAAUAGAACCUGGGCAACUUUUUUUCUGUUAAAUCAAACUGCUACUGCACUCCGUCAUUAUCAUCCCUAUAAUUUAUAAUAAAUGAUUCAAAAUGUAGUAUUGCUGUUGGUAUUUUUCAUUGUCUUGAUAUUAUAAGUUUAUUGAGUCAUUCUAUUAACGACUUGUCAUCAUCAUUAAACUGUACGUCGCUGUCACUGUUAUUGAUUUCAUUAUCACUAAUAAUUCGAUCCCAUCGGAAUUGUCGAUUAUUACAAUCAACGAAAUCCAAGUGAAAACUGACGAAACAUACGCGAGAAUCAUCGAACGAAGAGACCUUGUAAAGUGGUACGCCAAAUAUCUCGUCCAAAGUGUAUGUGCUAAAUAACAUCGCAUAACGAGUCGCGAGAUAUUUUGUCUGCAGUUAUAAAAUGAUUAUACGAGAUUUAUCUCGUAUAUUUAUCAAUGCUGAAACAACACAAACUUCGUUUAAAUAUUAGUGGAAACAAAGCAUAAAAUAAAUUAGUCGGUAUCAAUCUAAUUGUCGUAACAGGCGAUUCCUUAAUCCUUAACACUCCGUGCGUUUCUCGAGUACUGCCUAUCAAAAACUCUGGCACAACAUUUUUCUCAGGAAUGCUUGAGAUAAAGGAAGUUUUAUUUUGAGCGGCAAAGAUUAUACGUCCUUGUAAAUGCAUUUGAUUUUAUUUAUUUUAUAAAUAUGCAUUGUCCUAUUGUAAAUAAAAGAUAAAUUAAAAAUUUUGUAAUUCACCAUGGUGUAAUAUCUUUGGAAACAAUCUGCCAUAUGCAUUCUGGGUUUACUUGGGCAAAUGUCACAGUAAUCACUUGUUUGACGUUUGCUAUCCAUUUGUUUCCUUUUAGAGCACACAACGCAGUCCCUCUUUGCACCUUUUCUCACUAUGUGAAUUAUUUUUCGUUUAGUUUGAUUUCAGAAAUUAAUGUAGAAACUCUUGUUCUAUCGUGACGAAAAUCUCCUACGAGUUGAUUGACUAAAAUUUUUCUAUACUGUAACUGCGUCAAUGCUUUCUCAUUUUUAUUAUACUGUACAGUUUUAUAGAGAAUGUAUGAAUUAAUUAUUGAUAUCUUCAUUCCUCAGAAAAACAAUUUCCGCUAGCACUUAAGCGAUUUCCUCAAAAAGCAAUAACUAGAAGCAUAUUGAUCAGCCCGAUCAACUCCACCCAUCAACUUUGUGUACCCGACAAUUACACUUGGCUUUUCAAUUACUUCGUUUGUACCACCUCCUAAAAAUCUUCUAGUAGUUAUCAUUUCAACAUUAUGCCAGUUGCUCAAUAACGAUAUUAUCCUCUUAUCCCUCUAAGCUAAGAGUAUUGUAUUUCCUUGUUUGUAUACGACAGUCCUUUUUUCAUAUAAUUUUGCUUUCUUCAAAGUUGUUGGAAUACCUUUUCUGUUUGUUUUUAUGGUACCAGUCAAGUGGCACUUCAGUUUUCUUAAUUAACGUAACAUCUUAAGCGUAAUCACAUGCUAAAAACAUUUGGCUCCGCAGCGGAGCCUUCGGAGUUAGGGAACAAAUGUCUCUGUAGCGGAUUCAACGAAGCGUUAAGGAUUAAUAAAUAUAACACGAUUCCCAUACACCAUAGGAACAUUGACAAAUUCUAAUCAUUUCUUUCUAUUAACUUUAUUUACGAAAUAUUUUCUAUGGGCUACUCUGCCAUGGUAUCCUGCAGUUCGUAAAAAAUUACGCACUGUACUACUGCACACAUUAAUUAUUAAGACUAUUUUUAAGUUUAGUAGCGAUGUUUACUGCAUAUAUCUUCCAAUUUUGUUUUAUUUCUUGAAUUAUUUAUUGACCAGUGUACUCAUUUAUUUUAUGUUUACGUUCGUUUCAUGGAUUACUUUUUAAAGUUUUUCGGUCUCCAUAUCUGUCAAUGAUUCUAUUUACUAUUCUAGAAAUUUCAUUGAAUGUUCUACAUUUAUUAGAAAAAUUUAUAAUAAUUUUCUUUUCUUUUUCAAUGGUUUCCUUACUUUUUCAUUUCAUGAAAAAGUGUAUGCGACAGUCCUUUUUUCAUAUAAUUUUGCUUUCUUCAGAGUUGGAAUAUCUUUUCUGUUUGUUUUUAUGGUACCGGUCAAGUGGUACUUCAGUUUUCUUUAUUAACAUAGCAUCUUAAGCGUAAUCACAUGCUAAAAACAUUUAGCUUUGAAGCUGAGCUUUCGGAGUUACCGAACAAAUGAUUGAUGUCUCCAUAACGGAGCCAACGGAGCGUUAAGGGUUAAUUAUAAACCGCAUGUCAUACAAUUCAAAUAUGAUUUUAACAAAGAUUCAGAAUUUAAUGCCAUUAAUAUAAGAAAAUCUGUAGCAUGAAGAUUACUUAAGGUUUGAAAAAUGUAAAGCAAUCAUUGUUAUAUCCUACAGAUAGAACUGUGACAAGAAAAAAGAGAAAAGAUAUGAUGGAUUUGUUGAAAUUAAUUCUUCCUAUUAAACUUGCUUAUUAUAAAAACUUACGAACAAAUUGACACGUCAUCUCAAUACAUACAUCUGAUAAAGAAGACAUCUUUUAUGUUGCUGAUGAAUCGAUCUAAACAAACUGAUAAUAAUAAUGCAGUAACAGGUUUUAUUCAUUUUUGCAAAAAAUCUUUAAUAAAAAAUGUAUAAUAAUUCUUCUGAAAUAAAAAGGAAUUUAAUGUUUUUA
Molecule: long non-coding RNA, 4172 nt
Organism: Vespa velutina
Lineage: Eukaryota; Metazoa; Arthropoda; Insecta; Hymenoptera; Vespidae
Exons: 3
Source: RefSeq, a predicted model, not a curated record